Molecule: long non-coding RNA, 905 nt
Organism: Aedes albopictus (Asian tiger mosquito)
Lineage: Eukaryota; Metazoa; Arthropoda; Insecta; Diptera; Culicidae
Exons: 3
Source: RefSeq, a predicted model, not a curated record
AUGACACUCCGAGAUUUUAAGUUUAAUCAGUUUUUAAUCUUUCGGAAUCUUUUCGAAUCUUUUUGAAUCAGCAAAAUUGUGACCAAAAAAUGUAGAAGCACUUUUGCUUCAGUGUUUUGCGCGCAAUCUGUCAAACGUGUCGAGCUCAAUCGAAAUCGAAAAAAAAACAAAGUGGUGCGGUCGGUACGGUGUUUGUGCUACUUUUUCGAGAAAUCUGUAAGAUUUCGGAGAAUCCUAGUCCGAUUUCCGGUGUGUUUUAUGCCAAUGCGUCCGGGAACGAAUAAACUUCCACAACCAGAUCAUAAAUUGUAACCGGAAAGCAAGCAGGAAGUUACUGCGACAGCUGUGGAAUGUUGCGGCUCUGACGGCUGCCUGAAUGGGACGGCCGACUUCUGAGCAUGAACGUGAACCGGAUUAGGAUGGUUCGAAUUCGCUGCCGGGACGAGACCCAGAAUAAUUACCCCUAUCUUGGAUUUUUAAUGUCUUGUUCUUUCUUUUUCCAGGUCCUUCAGUUCCCUUAAGCACUGAGGCUCUUCAUCCUCUUCCUUUUCAUUGUCCUCGAGAUUCUCUUCGCUGAGCGAUUUCCGCUGCCGUUACCGAGGUAUGCAGCAGCCGAUGUUUGGCCAACAGCUUAGAGUUUUCGGACACUGAAUACACGAUUUGAGCUCUUUGUGGAAUACUGUCUUGACGAAGUGACAGCAUUACAAUAACUGGAUCCCAGCGUCCAGUGUCUUUUUCAUUCGACACCAAACGAAAAAUUUGCAAAUCCUCGAGGCAUAUUCUUGAAGUCUCCCUAUUUUUAAAGGAUCUUCUUCGCCACCAUCCCAUCCAGCCAAUGGAUUCAGAUAUCAUUAUCAUAUUGUUAUUGUUAUAUGUAUUUAUUUUUUAUUGUUUUCAUCUAUGGC